RNAcentral lists this unclassified non-coding RNA (345 nucleotides) under soil metagenome. Its description in RNAcentral is "partial contains 5.8S ribosomal RNA, internal transcribed spacer 2, and large subunit ribosomal RNA". The stretch from base 1 to 120 matches the Rfam family "5.8S ribosomal RNA", at positions 35 to 154 of the family's 154-position model. The record is from RNAcentral.
GAGGAAGAACGCAGCGAAAUGCGAUACGUAAUGUGAAUUGCAGAAUUCAGUGAAUCAUCGAGUCUUUGAACGCACAUUGCGCCCCCUGGUAUUCCGGGGGGCAUGCCUGUCCGAGCGUCAUUGCUGCCCUCAAGCACGGCUUGUGUGUUGGGCCUCCGUCCUCCUCCCGGGGGACGGGCCCGAAAGGCAGCGGCGGCACCGCGUCCGGUCCUCGAGCGUAUGGGGCUUCGUCACCCGCUCUUGUAGGCCCGGCCGGCGCUUGCCGACACAUCAAUCUUUUUUCCAGGUUGACCUCGGAUCAGGUAGGGAUACCCGCUGAACUUAAGCAUAUCAAUAAGCGGAGGA